RNAcentral lists this ribosomal RNA (592 nucleotides) under uncultured bacterium. RNAcentral describes it as "partial 16S ribosomal RNA". It matches the Rfam family "Bacterial small subunit ribosomal RNA", at positions 355 to 1375 of the family's 1533-position model. The record is from RNAcentral.
UGGGGAAUUUUGGACAAUGGGCGAAAGCCUGAUCCAGCAAUGCCGCGUGUGUGAAGAAGGCCUUCGGGUUGUAAAGCGCUUUUGUCCGGAAAGAAAUCCUUGGCUCUAAUACAGUCGGGGGAUGACGGUACCGGAAGAAUAAGCACCGGCUAACUACGUGCCAGCAGCCGCGGUAAUACGUAGGGUGCAAGCGUUAAUCGGAAUUACUGGGCGUAAAGCGUGCGCAGGCGGUUUGCUAAGACCGAUGUGAAAUCCCCGGGCUCAACCUGGGAACUGCAUUGGUGACUGGCAGGCUAGAGUAUGGCAGAGGGGGGUAGAAUUCCACGUGUAGCAGUGAAAUGCGUAGAGAUGUGGAGGAAUACCGAUGGCGAAGGCAGCCCCCUGGGCCAAGUACUGACGCUCAUGCACGAAAAGCGUGGGGGAGCAAAACAGGAUUAGAUACCCCUGGUAGUCCACGCCCCUAAAACGAUGUCAACUAGUUGUUGGGGAUUCAUUUCCUUAGUAACGUAGCUAACGCGUGAAGUUGACCGCCUGGGGAGUACGGUCGCAAGAUUAAAACUCAAAUGAAUUGACGGGGUCAUAGCUGUUUCCU